UUGGGGGGUCAAAAUGCCUACUGCACCACUCUGUACAGAGUAGUACAUCUUUCUCUUCAUUACUUGUAGUUUUGAAUCCUAUAUAGCCAUUUCAUUGUAUCCUAUAAUACCCUGAGCUGGAAGGGACCCACAAGGAUUAUCAAGUCUAGCUCUUUGGCCCUGCACAGAACAACCCCAAGAAUCACACCAAGAGCCUGAGAGCCUUGUCCAAAAACUUCUUGAACAUUUGAUUUUUCAUGUGUAACUUCUUAGAGAUUCCAUAUCACCUAGCUGACAUCUUGCUCUGGAAGAGAAGGAGAAGAGCAGAGGUGGGAUGAGAACAACAGGCAAAUAGCCAGGUGUCUGUCUCUGCAGUCAUGAGCAGGCUUCUACACAGGAAGUUUCCACUCUCUGGGCUGGCUUUAAAUAAAACAUGGCAGAUUUUGA
Molecule: long non-coding RNA, 426 nt
Organism: Passer domesticus (house sparrow)
Lineage: Eukaryota; Metazoa; Chordata; Aves; Passeriformes; Passeridae
Exons: 2
Source: RefSeq, a predicted model, not a curated record